ACCUGGAGGCUGCAACCCGCCCUGGGCUUUAAGACCUGGCUUCCGGGUGUGAUGUCAGGCUGAUCUGUCCAGCUGUGACAGGCUAAUCCCUCCACUCUGCUGAGAUAGGAGAAUAAUCCCCAAAGAGGUUUCAUACCGGAUGAGUAGCACCAACCCAGGACUGGGCUAGCCAUGUAUAGCUCACAUCUGGCUCCUCCCCCAAGGAAAAUGCUCUGGAUGAGGAUCCCUCCACCUUUAGUUAACUAAGCGAGGGGGAGUUUCAGGAGGAUCCUGACCCCCAGCUGGAUCCUCAGCAAGGGCUGCCUGGCUGGGAUAAGAGAGAUCACCUGCAGGGAGCGCCGGGAGCCUGCUAUUAGCUUCCCUCUCCUGCUUUCAUUGCUUUGCCUUCCUUUCCUCAGCAGAGCGGAACCCCAUAAGCAAUUAACCCUUCACAAGCUGAGUCACCGGACUUUGGAUAAUACAGGAUUAGACCAUUUAGCUGAAGCAGCUCAAGUCUGUAAAUAUGCAUGGGUUUCUGGAGCCUUUGGCAAUGCCUUAUAUGGAUUUCCUGAAUCAUCAGCAGAACACAGAGGACUGGAUGUUCCCAGGCCAGAACAUCUUUUUGGAGACCCAAAUAAAGAAAUGACUUCCAGUGGCUACCCCAUCAGCUACGAGAAGAACCAGAGGAAAGUUUGAUCCCACAGGAAAGAUGACAGCAAGAACACGUGUCUGUCAGCCUUGGCUAGUCUGGCUCUCCCCACCACCCUGCUGCUGGUGUGUAGCUGUAUCAGAGACAUUGCCUGGGAAGACCACGUGGGACCAGCUGUGUCUGAAACUCUGCUGAUUCUCAGAAGUGGAUAGCCGAAGAACUGCUUUCAAGCUACACAGUAGGAUAAAGAGGUAACCUGAUUCUUCUGCUUGAGUGGCUUCACGAAGCAGCGAACACUUUUCCUGUCCAUUGUUGAACCCCUCAUGCCUAACCCAGUGCCUAGAACACAGGCUCGUCAUAGAUGUGUGGAAUGAAUGGAUGAAAGAAAACAACGAAGAGCCAGUUGUCGGUGGAGGAUCCCAAAGGAGCAGUUCCGCCUUCAUGUUGAAGACUUUCUUUGCCCUGCAUGUUGUAACCACAUAAAGCUAGCUGGGAGCCACGUGGCUGCCCUCAUUGUUGCUCCUUGGCAAUGUUCUCUCUGUGCCAGGCAUCAAACAUGAGCCCCUCAGUGGGAUCCCUGCCCUGUGUGCGCCCCAAUACCUGGACACUUCCUGGAUGCUCCAAGAGGAUGGAGAUUUGCCCCUCCCGACUUUCCCAUGAUUAAUGUUUGUCCGUAGCCUUGUCACAACCAACCUUGGGAGUGUUGCUGGGUUCUGGUGGGGGUCCCUCCUGAGAGAGGCCUUUCUAUUCUGUGAGGUGAAUUGAAGGCUGUCAAACCUUUCGCUCAAACUGGUCUCAUCUGCAUCAAGUCGUACAGAAAUUCCUUGAAAUGUCUGGUAUGUGGGUGGAAUCCUUUUUCAGUUUUGAAGAAUGACAGAUUUUCCCCUAUCAUUAUUUUCCUUUGGCUGUGUCAAUGGGAGUUUGGAAGAGAGACAGGAUGGGAAGUUCAAUGUGAGGAUUUGAAUGCCUGUCACAGAAUAGAAGUCU
This is a long non-coding RNA of Equus asinus (donkey), 1615 nucleotides long. Lineage: Eukaryota; Metazoa; Chordata; Mammalia; Perissodactyla; Equidae. The record is from Ensembl.